Oncorhynchus tshawytscha (Chinook salmon) is the source of this 2528-nucleotide long non-coding RNA. NCBI's taxonomy places the organism in Eukaryota, Metazoa, Chordata, Actinopteri, Salmoniformes, Salmonidae. The record is from Ensembl.
UGACCAUUGCACAUCAAACAAUAACAUGAUAUAACCAGAGUUGACGUUCCAUGAUUUUGAGACCGGGGAAAUUAAAUUGAGAGAAAUGUUUGAGAUACGUACCUGGACUAUUAUGCACACGUGCUGAUAGACAAAGCUACUUUAGUAGCCAAAUCGCCGUUCAACCUUGAUUGACAGCCGGUGGCCUCGAACACUGAUUUUCGCUUUUUUCAUUGCUGUUGAUAUUGCCUAAAGUUUAAAAUUGUUCUGACAAUUGUUAUAGAAUCGCUUGAAUUUACUGAUAUAAGUUCAUAAAGGAAGUUACUGAAUUAUUUACAGAAAGUAUUUAAAUGAUUCGCUAAAAAAAAAAAAAAGUUUUUUAAAUUCUUCUAUUUUUCUAUUUCCUAACGUACUAGAAUAAUUCUGACAAAUGGUAUAGAACCGCUUGAAUUUGCUAAACAUAUUGUCCCAAGAGGGGAUUGCUCAAUCAUUUCUAAGAAAAUACCUAAACAAAUCGCUGAACAGAUUCGAAUUACAUGCCGGAGAGGCACACACGUAACUGAAACCACAUUACUGAUAAGAUCUUUCUGUGCGAGGGUGGGGGCGAGAGAACUCUGAGCUAGCACUACAGUACAUCCCAGAUAUCGAACAGAGACGGGCUGAGUAUACAAAGAUAGAAAUAAACCACACAAAGGACUGACUAAAACCUAGAUAACGCAUUAUACACAUUAUCUGACGAAUUAGAUAAAAUGUCUGCAGCCACCACGCCCAAAACUCAAAUUCAAUGAAUAUUUAGAUCAGAGUAUGAUUGACAGAGCGGGAGGUAAAGAACAGUAUCGGAAAGUGGAGAAAGUGUGGAAAGGAUUAAGGCUAAAAUGGACACAAGCAGGUUACUUUAGCGGAGGACCCCUACAUGGGGGAAACUCCAAGAUAUGCAAAAAGAACUAGAGGACGCAGUAGAGCAUGCAAAAGCGAGUGAGACGGAGAGAAACAAGAUACACAUGUUCAAAAAAGUAGGCACGAGAGAGAGAAAGCUGGCAGAAGCAGAAUUGAAUGUAGGAACAUGGGCUAUAGAAGUGUGUAGGAGGAUGCAGCCCAAAAACAAACCAGAUAUGAUGUGCGUGGCUUCUGCGUUGUCGGGGGAUGUUAUAGCUCCGCCUGAGAACUUGCCCACGGCUCCCCCUGAGGCCGUUUCUCCCCCGCCAUACUCAAAGGGACAAAAUCACCGGAGCCCGUCACACAACCCAUUCCUGCCCAGGGCACCUCCCACAAUACAGGCUCCAGUUCUGAGAAUAGACCAAGGGGAGUUAAAAGGGGAAAUGACACUGGGGAUAACGGGUGGCCAUAUUGUAUGUGAACAGCUCGAAACUGGGACUCCAGGCGCAGGAGGCCUCCCCCAGGAACGGAGGCCGCAAUGCUCCUCUGUGAACUCGCUCACCUCUGAAACCAGAGGACACCUACAAACAAGAUUAGAUUCAAACCACUUCUAUCAGACGGAUAGGGAGGACUGUCAUCAGAACAUGGAUAUCGAAAACGAAGAAGAAAUUGACAUGGUGCUCACCCCAGCUCCGAUGGGAGCUCCAAACGUGACUAAGAUGCAGGACCUGCUGAAAUCAUCAAUAGCUCGAGCUAAGGAACUCAGGGAGCUUAUAGCUAACCAAGAUAACAACAGAGAGGGAGCAUACUGUGCAGAAGGCAUAAUGAGAGGAACAGUAACCGAAGUCACUGAGUCAAUAGGGUCCGAAACACUCCGUCGGUCCUCCAGAAUCGCUGAUAGAAGAGAGCGAGAGCAGGAGAUGGCAGGACAGUACCCCUGCGACCGACACCAGGUGAUGCACACACUUUGGAGUACCAGCCCUGGAAAAUGACUGAUUUAACAACACUGAUGGAACAGAUGCCUAGCCUACAUGGAGGAGCUUCAGCGUGGCUACUUCAACUGCAGACACUUACUUCAGCUGACCUUGGAUGGCGGGCCCCAACACUGCCCAUAGACCACUUCCGUACCAGAUUAUGGGAAGUUCUACGGAGAGCAUACCCUACAGAAAGAAACCAUGCCACCUUAUCCUCCUUUACAAUCAACCCAGGUGAGCAACCUGCAGCAUACCUGGACAGGGCUAAGACCACAUGGAGAUCGGUCCACGAAGAACCAUUCGAUCACACUGAUACCACACUCAGCAUGUGGAAGGAAAUGGUGGUGAACGGGUGUCCUGGAGAUGUUAAAACCAAACUCAGAGGAACAGUGGGGUUGAUUGCACUUCCUCUGACCCAAUUCAAUACGCAUGUGCACCACCAUGUAUCCCAACACAACAAGGAAAGAGGGGGUGCUGAGAGCCAGGUGCAGUCCCUCCAGGACCAACUCCUGUGAGGGCGUGAAACGGAACCUUGGAUUUUCCAUCUUAGGAGACAAGAAAAAUACUAUUAUCAUGACUGAGGAGUGCAGUGACAAGUGACAGCAUAACCAUAUUAGAUACAUAUAAAGGAACUUACGUUUGAUAGGUCUGCUAGGAGGAGGACAGCAGUGGGGGGUUAUGGGUAAGAUUAGGGUGAUU